AUGCAAGUGUCAGAAAUAUAAUCAGCUCAAGAGGCGAAGAGCAGUAUGUAUGGAAUUGUAUUAGCAUGAGGCACACACUGACCCGGGAGAAAGAGGGAUGCUUAGCUGGUGAAAACCAUCCAUCCCCGUAUAGAAGGCUUUCUGCACAAUGUUAUUUGGGUUCCGAUUAAUCUAAGACCCUGGGAGAAAAGACUACCUCCAGGGAAUCAUGUCCGAUUAGGGACAAAGGAGGGCACAAGCCCAAUUCAGUCACACGUGAGAGCGCGGGGCAGGGGUUGGGGGGGGGCGGUGGUGAAGAGGCGGCAGUGAAGGUGGAGGAUGAGUUUGCAUACCAGACUAUGGUCACUGCAGAGCUGCUUCCAGACCACCUGACUUCAGGCCCAAGAACAGGUGGUGUUUUUAAAACACACUGUUAUUUACUUUGGCCGUAUAAGUUGAGAACACCUUAAAUAAAACAAUUAAUAAUUUAAUUGAAAAAGUGACUAUGAAUAAGACAUGAAGAUGAUGUAUGCUAGCAGGACCGCAAGCAACGUGGCCCACAACACAGAGAUGCCUCUGGCAAUCUCUUCAGGAAAACAAAGAUUCCUUACCUAGGAUAGGUAAGGCCCUGCUGGAUAAAUUCAAGACAACAAGAAAAUGUUGAUACUCUCAACAAAUCUAAUUUUGCUGCUUUGUCUUCACUUUUAUUAACAGGGGACAACCUUGUAAUCUGAUGACAUCAUGAUCCUGGUAGGCCCACAGACAAAUACUUCCAAUAAAAUAAAAGCUAGAAAGCCCAAAGAACAAGCUAUUAAAGUAACCUGGGAGGAUGCAGCAGUGCCUGGGCAGAAGGCCCGGAGGGGAUUUGCCCUAAUACUGCCACUGUCCCAAGAAGCAGACCCUGAGACCUGCCUCCUGCACUUCAGAGGCCUGACAACUAGAACUGAGAGUGACCCUGAGUUCCUUUUCUUUUAUCUGGCACCAGCUACGCACAUGAUGAGGCCUAGUCAAGCCUGCCUUUGUUCCAGGCAAAAAUUUAACAGCUCUGGAAGCCCCGGCUCUUCGGAGGGCAGCUGCCUGAUGUUAAACCCACGGCCUACCCAGCAGUGACAGCCUGACAUUCUCAUCGCUCCAUCCUGAACACUGCUGACAAAUAAACCCACUCUCAGAAAAGGCAAUUCUUCCCUCGCAGUUCUCCAUACCCAGUCUCGUCUCAUCUGGAAAGCGUAAUUGGCAACAGCCGAAAGGAUAAAUAUUUAAAAAUAAAUCAGGGAGCGCUAACCCCUUCCCUACUCCUCCCCUUACUCACUCUCCAAGCCAGAGGCCUGCCCCCUAACGCUGAGCUGGCUGGUAAAUCACAAUGAUUCUACCGAGCCAAACCUGCUUGUCUCUCUCUCUCUACACAUACACACUUACUAAUACUGUAUCCUUCCACUUUUGCAAAGGUAAAUAUGAUCUCUAAGAUACAGUGGAUGUCAGCAUUCUGACUUCCAGCUUAACCUGGGCGCUCUUUUCACAGUACAGCUGGGUUUAAACAGAUUUGUGCACCCUUCCGGGUUCUUCUAUUUUUAUUAAAUUAUAUGUAGACAUUGAUUUUAAAACAAGUGCUUAAAUAACCUGGAGGCUUUAACAAAGAAAAAUCCAGAAGAGGGCAAGAAACAAAAACAAACGUUCCUGAAAUAAACAAGGAACCAUUUGGAGCUGAAUUUCGCUCCAUGGCCUGAGUUCACCCCAUGAUUUUGAGGCAGUUAUAUUUAGGGGCCUGGUACCCGCUGGGUGGCCAGGCCUUCCUGGGUAUGGAACAGAAUGCAGACCUUCCUCAGAACAGCUCACAUUUGCCUUCAUAACCAUUGGAAGCUGGUGUGCCAAGGUCUGCACACAGAGGUUUUGAUUCACAUUUUUCUGCUGAAGCCUCAAGGCCUCCAUCCAUCCCUACAGUGCUAAUUCCAUAGAUUAAUUUUCACCCCCAAAUCAUAGAUGGAACAUUAUCUAAUUUCCUUACCCACCCUCCUCAGCUCAGGUGCUAAAUCUGUAAAUGAUAUCCCACAAGAAAGACCCAAAUGAGUAACUAUUUUUUAAAAGCUGUGAUUCGGGAGAGUUUUUCUAAAUUAAUUUUAAGUUACAAAGCCCCAAGUUUUAAGGAAGCCAAAAUAAAGAAGUUGCCUUAAAACAGCUUUACAUGUUACGUAAAGAAAUCUCUCUUUCUCGCUCCUUCUUUUUUAAACAAAAAUAUUAUUUCUGAAAGGGCAAAGGGAAUUUGCCAUGCAAGACUUUUAUACCCAGGGGGAUUCUUACAUUUGUGUUUCUAAACAUUGAAAUUGAGAAUUUUAAUGAAAAGGCGGACAGAUGCUUAAGGACAGCAUCGCAAUCUGGGUCCAUACAUUACAGGAGAGAGAGGCGCUUUGUUUGGGGCCAAGAAAAAAGAGGUGGACUCCUAUUUUGUUCAUAGGCCAUCCCCACCGUCUGACACAUCCCUUUACAGUCAGUCUGAUGCUAACCACUGAAUUCUUCGAGGGGAAGCAGGUUGGAAGGAGAAGAAAGGAAAAGGGAAACAGAAGAGGAAAAGAAAUGGGUGAGGGGAUACUGCCUGUUUAUAUAAAUUGUAGAUUUUUUUUAAAAAAUUCUCAACACAGUAUCCAUUCCAUAGUAUGCACCAAGAGCACUUUCACA
This 2649-nucleotide long non-coding RNA is filed under the name Rhinopithecus bieti (black snub-nosed monkey). Its description in RNAcentral is "lncRNA (ENSRBIG00000046025.1)". Lineage: Eukaryota; Metazoa; Chordata; Mammalia; Primates; Cercopithecidae. The record is from RNAcentral.